AAACGCGGCGCGCGCUCUGGCGAGGCUGCGGGGCGGUUCGCGGGACUCGCGGCGCCGGGGCGCUGCUGCGGGGCGCGAUGCUGUGCGCCCGACGGCUGGGGGGCCUCCGGGCCGGGCUCCGGGCCGGGCUCCGGGUUCGGCGGGUCAGCACCACUUGGUCCCCGGUGGGCGCCGCCUUCAAUGUGCAGCCCCAGGGACGCCAGCUGGACCUGUUCGGCGAGCGCGGGGGCCUCUUUGGAGUUCCUGAGCUCAGUGCCCCAGAAGGAUUUCGUAUCGCCCAGGAGACGGCCUUGAGAAAGGCGGACGAGCUGGUGGAGCGGGUGUGCUCCAUGCCGCCUGGGCCCCAGACGGUGGCCAUCUUCGACGAGCUGUCCGACUCCUUGUGCAGGGUGGCCGACCUGGCUGACUUUGUGAAGCUCGCUCACCCCGAGGCUGCCUUCCGAGAGGCAGCUGACGAGGCCUGCCGGAGCAUCGGCACCGCGGUGGAGAGGUUGAACACAAAUGUGGAGUUAUAUCAAAGUUUGCAAAAAUUACUAGCUGAUAAAAAACUUGUGGAUUCUCUUGAUCCAGAAACCAGGCGAGUGGCUGAACUGUUUAUGUUUGAUUUUGAAAUCAGUGGGAUCCAUCUAGACAAAGAAAAGCGUAAGAGAGCGGUGGACUUGAACGUGAAAAUCUUGGACCUGAGCAGCACGUUUCUCAUGGGAACCAACUUUCCCAACAAGAUUGAGAAGCGGCUCUUGCCGGAACACGUUCGGCAGCACUUUGAGCCGGCCGGGGACCACGUCGUGGUGGACAGUCUGCACGCGGAGGCGCCGGAUGACUUGGUGCGAGAAGCUGCUUAUAAGGUUUUUCUGUAUCCCGAUGCUGGUCAGCUGCAGUGUCUAGAGGAACUGCUCAGCAGCAGAGAUCUUCUGGCCCAGUUAGUGGGGUACCCUACCUACGCCCACAGAGCCCUCCAGGGAGCGAUAGCCGGAAACCCAGAGACCGUCAUGCAGUUCCUCGAGAAACUAUCUGACAAACUUUCUGAAAGAACUACAAAAGAGUUUGAGAUGAUGCGAGGGAUGAAAAUGAAACUAAAUCCUCAGAAUUCCGAGUUAAUGCCCUGGGACCCCCCCUACUACAGUGGUGUGAUCCGCGCAGAGAGGUACAACAUCGAGCCGAGUUUGUACUGCCCGUUUUUCUCCCUCGGAGCGUGCAUGGACGGCCUGAGUGUCCUGUUUCACAGGCUGCUGGGGAUUUCACUCCACGCGGAGCAGCCAGUGAGGGGAGAGGUGUGGUGCGAGGAUGUCCGCAAGCUGGCUGUGGUUCACGAAUCUGAAGGACUGUUGGGGUACAUCUACUGUGACUUUUUCCAGCGAGCAGACAAGCCCCACCAGGACUGCCACUUCACCAUCCGCGGCGGCAGGCUGAAGGCCGACGGGGACUAUCAGCUCCCGGUCGUCGUGCUCAUGCUGAACCUCCCCUGCCCCUCGAGGAACUUACCGACGCUGCUCACCCCGGGGAUGAUGGAGAAUCUUUUCCACGAGAUGGGCCACGCCAUGCACUCUAUGCUGGGCCGGACACGUUACCAGCACGUCACUGGGACCAGGUGCCCCACGGACUUUGCUGAGGUUCCUUCUAUUCUGAUGGAGUACUUUGCAAACGACUACCGAGUGGUUCACCAGUUUGCCCGACACUAUCAGACGGGGCAGGUGCUGCCCAGAAGCAUGGUGUCUCGUCUUUGCGAAUCCAAAAAGCUCUGCGCCGCGGCCGAUCUGCAGCUUCAGGUGUUCUAUGCCGCUCUGGACCAGGUCUACCAUGGGCAGCAUCCCCUGAGGAGGUCGACCACGGACAUCCUCAGGGACACCCAGGAGAAGUUCUAUGGCCUGCCGUACGUCCCGAACACGCUCUGUUCCUCUUCAGGUUCACCUUCUUCUCCUGGAGGCGUGGUGGCCACCAAAAGGCCUGGCAGCUGCGCUUCAGCCACCUCGUGGGCUACGGGGCCAAGUACUACUCCUACCUGGUGUCCAGGGCCGUGGCCUCCCUGGUCUGGAGGGAGUGCUUCCUGCAGGACCCCUUCAACAGCACCAGCCUCUCGAGUCCUACUCGCGUGGAACCUCAUUUCUUCUCUGUGGCCCACAGAGGACCUGACUGCUCUGCCCUUGGGAGCAGCACCACUGGCUGCUUUACCAGACAGCGUCCUGUUUGUUCUGUCUCUGGAAGGUUUUCCUCCCCAGGAGGGCCUUGUGGGACCCUGGCAGGACCUGCUCUGGGGGCCCUGGGGCCGCCCUGCCGUGAGGGUUCAGACCUGGCCCCUCAGGAGUGUCUGGGCGGCCUCCUGGCCUCCCAAAGCGUCCACGUACAAAUCCCAGUGGGGAUGGGGGGGUUCUGGUGGGGACACCCAACGCCCCUCCCAUCCCUGCAGUGGGGGCACGACAUGCAGUGAGGGCUGGGGAGAGAGGCCCAGGGGUCCUUGAUUCCCUGGACCUCAGGCUCCCGCUGCUCCUCCGUCAGCAGGACCAGGACAAGUUGCACUUUGCUGAGUCCUUCGAAGAAGCCUCCUUGGAAAGCAAACCCCUAAUUACGAUCUGGCCUAACAGUCACCUGAAACACUCCUCACCACACAGACACUGCAGACAACCCCUCUGGGCAACCUCCCGUGCGCACAGGGUUCAGGGUUCAGGGCACCUGAGGUUGCGUGGAGUGCAGUCUCCAGGCUGAAAGGCCACACCUGGGAGCCAGCCAGGAACUGGAGGCCGGGAGCAAGAGUCUGACUGCGGGGAGCGGAGCUGUGGGGCGCCAGGAGGGGCACGGACGGACCCCCUUCCAGCCAGAGGUCAGGCAGGGCUCUUGGCUGCCUGGUCC
This is an RNA transcript of Camelus dromedarius (Arabian camel), 2844 nucleotides long. It is a transcript of the gene named mitochondrial intermediate peptidase, with no coding region annotated. The transcript has 20 exons. NCBI's taxonomy places the organism in Eukaryota, Metazoa, Chordata, Mammalia, Artiodactyla, Camelidae. The record is from RefSeq and is a predicted model, not a curated record.